UACGAAGGGGGCUAGCGUUGUUCGGAUUUACUGGGCGUAAAGCGCACGUAGGCGGUUUGUUAAGUCAGGGGUGAAAUCCCACAGCUCAACUGUGGAACUGCCUUUGAUACUGGCAAGCUAGAGUCCGGAAGAGGUAAGUGGAACUCCUAGUGUAGAGGUGGAAUUCGUAGAUAUUAGGAAGAACACCAGUGGCGAAGGCGGCUUACUGGGCUGUAACUGACGCUGAUGCACGAAAGCGUGGGGGAGCAAACAGG
This 254-nucleotide ribosomal RNA is filed under the name uncultured bacterium. Its description in RNAcentral is "partial 16S ribosomal RNA". It matches the Rfam family "Bacterial small subunit ribosomal RNA", at positions 524 to 776 of the family's 1533-position model. The record is from RNAcentral.